AUGUACCACGCGUCCACUGCGGUUCUGAGCGCGCCGUCCGCGUCCACCUUGCC
This 53-nucleotide small RNA is filed under the name Xanthomonas oryzae pv. oryzae. RNAcentral describes it as "sX9". Lineage: Bacteria; Pseudomonadati; Pseudomonadota; Gammaproteobacteria; Lysobacterales; Lysobacteraceae. The record is from RNAcentral.